RNAcentral lists this ribosomal RNA (426 nucleotides) under uncultured Hyphomicrobiales bacterium. Its description in RNAcentral is "bacterial SSU rRNA". It matches the Rfam family "Bacterial small subunit ribosomal RNA", at positions 356 to 774 of the family's 1533-position model. The record is from RNAcentral. Lineage: Bacteria; Pseudomonadati; Pseudomonadota; Alphaproteobacteria; Hyphomicrobiales.
GGGGAAUUUUGGACAAUGGGGGCAACCCUGAUCCAGCCAUGCCGCGUGAGUGAAGAAGGCCUUCGGGUUGUAAAGCUCUUUCGGACGGAAAGAAAACGGAUGGGUUAAUACCCUGUUCGGAUGACGGUACCGUCAUAAGAAGCCCCGGCUAACUUCGUGCCAGCAGCCGCGGUAAUACGAAGGGGGCUAGCGUUGCUCGGAAUCACUGGGCGUAAAGCGCACGUAGGCGGAUCGUUAAGUCAGGGGUGAAAUCCUGGGGCUCAACCUCAGAACUGCCCUUGAUACUGGCGAUCUCGAGUUCGAGAGAGGUUGGUGGAACUCCGAGUGUAGAGGUGAAAUUCGUAGAUAUUCGGAAGAACACCAGUGGCGAAGGCGACCAACUGGCUCGAUACUGACGCUGAGGUGCGAAAGCGUGGGGAGCAAACA